GGGAAUAUAGCUCAGCAGUGCUGCGCCUGCUUCGCAAGCAGGAGGUCCUGAGUUCGAUUCCUGAUAACCCCA
This 72-nucleotide transfer RNA is filed under the name Fukomys damarensis (Damara mole-rat). It matches the Rfam family "tRNA". From Rfam's summary of the family: Transfer RNA (tRNA) molecules are approximately 80 nucleotides in length. Their secondary structure includes four short double-helical elements and three loops (D, anti-codon, and T loops). The record is from Rfam by way of RNAcentral. Lineage: Eukaryota; Metazoa; Chordata; Mammalia; Rodentia; Bathyergidae.